RNAcentral lists this transfer RNA (72 nucleotides) under Rattus norvegicus (Norway rat). It matches the Rfam family "tRNA". Rfam says of the family: Transfer RNA (tRNA) molecules are approximately 80 nucleotides in length. Their secondary structure includes four short double-helical elements and three loops (D, anti-codon, and T loops). Further hydrogen bonds mediate the characteristic L-shaped molecular structure. tRNAs have two regions of fundamental functional importance: the anti-codon, which is responsible for specific mRNA codon recognition, and the 3' end, to which the tRNAs corresponding amino acid is attached (by aminoacyl-tRNA synthetases). tRNAs cope with the degeneracy of the genetic code in two manners: having more than one tRNA (with a specific anti-codon) for a particular amino acid; and 'wobble' base-pairing, i.e. permitting non-standard base-pairing at the 3rd anti-codon position. Lineage: Eukaryota; Metazoa; Chordata; Mammalia; Rodentia; Muridae. The record is from Rfam by way of RNAcentral.
GGGGAUUUGGCUCAGUGGUAGAGCGCUUGCCUAGCAAGCGCAAGGCCCUGGGUUCGGUCCCCAGCUCCCCCA